This 1554-nucleotide ribosomal RNA is filed under the name Escherichia coli. Its description in RNAcentral is "bacterial SSU rRNA". It matches the Rfam family "Bacterial small subunit ribosomal RNA". The record is from RNAcentral. Lineage: Bacteria; Pseudomonadati; Pseudomonadota; Gammaproteobacteria; Enterobacterales; Enterobacteriaceae.
AAAUUGAAGAGUUUGAUCAUGGCUCAGAUUGAACGCUGGCGGCAGGCCUAACACAUGCAAGUCGAACGGUAACAGGAAACAGCUUGCUGUUUCGCUGACGAGUGGCGGACGGGUGAGUAAUGUCUGGGAAACUGCCUGAUGGAGGGGGAUAACUACUGGAAACGGUAGCUAAUACCGCAUAACGUCGCAAGACCAAAGAGGGGGACCUUCGGGCCUCUUGCCAUCGGAUGUGCCCAGAUGGGAUUAGCUAGUAGGUGGGGUAACGGCUCACCUAGGCGACGAUCCCUAGCUGGUCUGAGAGGAUGACCAGCCACACUGGAACUGAGACACGGUCCAGACUCCUACGGGAGGCAGCAGUGGGGAAUAUUGCACAAUGGGCGCAAGCCUGAUGCAGCCAUGCCGCGUGUAUGAAGAAGGCCUUCGGGUUGUAAAGUACUUUCAGCGGGGAGGAAGGGAGUAAAGUUAAUACCUUUGCUCAUUGACGUUACCCGCAGAAGAAGCACCGGCUAACUCCGUGCCAGCAGCCGCGGUAAUACGGAGGGUGCAAGCGUUAAUCGGAAUUACUGGGCGUAAAGCGCACGCAGGCGGUUUGUUAAGUCAGAUGUGAAAUCCCCGGGCUCAACCUGGGAACUGCAUCUGAUACUGGCAAGCUUGAGUCUCGUAGAGGGGGGUAGAAUUCCAGGUGUAGCGGUGAAAUGCGUAGAGAUCUGGAGGAAUACCGGUGGCGAAGGCGGCCCCCUGGACGAAGACUGACGCUCAGGUGCGAAAGCGUGGGGAGCAAACAGGAUUAGAUACCCUGGUAGUCCACGCCGUAAACGAUGUCGACUUGGAGGUUGUGCCCUUGAGGCGUGGCUUCCGGAGCUAACGCGUUAAGUCGACCGCCUGGGGAGUACAGCCGCAAGGUUAAAACUCAAAUGAAUUGACGGGGGCCCGCACAAGCGGUGGAGCAUGUGGUUUAAUUCGAUGCAACGCGAAGAACCUUACCUGGUCUUGACAUCCACGGAAGUUUUCAGAGAUGAGAAUGUGCCUUCGGGAACCGUGAGACAGGUGCUGCAUGGCUGUCGUCAGCUCGUGUUGUGAAAUGUUGGGUUAAGUCCCGCAACGAGCGCAACCCUUAUCCUUUGUUGCCAGCGGUCCGGCCGGGAACUCAAAGGAGACUGCCAGUGAUAAACUGGAGGAAGGUGGGGAUGACGUCAAGUCAUCAUGGCCCUUACGACCAGGGCUACACACGUGCUACAAUGGCGCAUACAAAGAGAAGCGACCUCGCGAGAGCAAGCGGACCUCAUAAAGUGCGUCGUAGUCCGGAUUGGAGUCUGCAACUCGACUCCAUGAAGUCGGAAUCGCUAGUAAUCGUGGAUCAGAAUGCCACGGUGAAUACGUUCCCGGGCCUUGUACACACCGCCCGUCACACCAUGGGAGUGGGUUGCAAAAGAAGUAGGUAGCUUAACCUUCGGGAGGGCGCUUACCACUUUGUGAUUCAUGACUGGGGUGAAGUCGUAACAAGGUAACCGUAGGGGAACCUGCGGUUGGAUCACCUCCUUACCUUAAAGAAGC